GAGCGAACGGACGAGAAGCUUGCUUCUCUGAUGUUAGCGGCGGACGGGUGAGUAACACGUGGAUAACCUACCUAUAAGACUGGGAUAACUUCGGGAAACCGGAGCUAAUACCGGAUAAUAUUUUGAACCGCAUGGUUCAAAAGUGAAAGACGGUCUUGCUGUCACUUAUAGAUGGAUCCGCGCUGCAUUAGCUAGUUGGUAAGGUAACGGCUUACCAAGGCAACGAUGCAUAGCCGACCUGAGAGGGUGAUCGGCCACACUGGAACUGAGACACGGUCCAGACUCCUACGGGAGGCAGCAGUAGGGAAUCUUCCGCAAUGGGCGAAAGCCUGACGGAGCAACGCCGCGUGAGUGAUGAAGGUCUUCGGAUCGUAAAACUCUGUUAUUAGGGAAGAACAUAUGUGUAAGUAACUGUGCACAUCUUGACGGUACCUAAUCAGAAAGCCCCGGGUAACUACGUGC
This 462-nucleotide ribosomal RNA is filed under the name Staphylococcus aureus. RNAcentral's name for it is "bacterial SSU rRNA". It matches the Rfam family "Bacterial small subunit ribosomal RNA", at positions 64 to 508 of the family's 1533-position model. The record is from RNAcentral. Lineage: Bacteria; Bacillati; Bacillota; Bacilli; Caryophanales; Staphylococcaceae.